Molecule: long non-coding RNA, 1328 nt
Organism: Ornithodoros turicata
Lineage: Eukaryota; Metazoa; Arthropoda; Arachnida; Ixodida; Argasidae
Exons: 5
Source: RefSeq, a predicted model, not a curated record
UUCCUUGUACCAUAGAGGGACGUAAUGCUGCUUCCAAGAACUCUAGAACAAAUUCCUCCAUGAGUCAUCCUGACGAAACGCCAACACAUUCAACACAAAAAGUAUUGUCUUCAAAGUUUUGUUCUGUGGCUUCUUGCUGCCAGCCGUGUGGACAGUGAAGAAGCAGAUGCAGUGCACGCUGAAAACAUCACCUCAUCACAGAUGCAUCGUGCACUGACACUAUCUUGUGGUCUCCAGAGACGAGUACAACCUGCGCUAUGGGAAACCGGUACACAUCUUUGUGGAAACUGGCCCUGAGGUGAUGUCAAUUUUUCUUUUUAUUUUUCGCGUAACACCAUCGAGCUUCCUACCAGACCUCAGGCUAUACCAUCUUGAAUCUCAGAGACAAGUGUAUAUUGUUGUGUGCGACCCUCAAAGUUAAUGGACAGUCAUCCAUAUUGAGCUUAUGAAGUAAUAAACUCUGUUGUUGUCUCCCUCAGAAUAUCGCAUGCCUGUGCAUGCUACAGUUGUUGCUAUAUGUGUGUGGUUUUCACAGCUUGCUCAAUGCUGCUUCUUUUUCUCUUUCUUUCUUGUUUACUAGACGUUUCUGAAGAUCAGGAGUAGAGAUCAGAAAACAAAAAGCUUUGUGUCAGUAACAUGUCUUGAGGAGCUAAUCAGAGUUGCUGUGGGUCAUGGAAUUUGUCAGGAGGGCAACAUACAGGUGUAUUUAAUGGAUGAGUUAUCACUUCGCUCUAUGGUUGCUGGUGCUGAGAAAUGCCUCGAUGACAUUUUCAUUGUUAGAAAUGGACUAUGGAAACAAGUUAUAGUGCAUACAUCUCCAGAUGCCAUUUUGCCCUCUUGCUUGGGGCUUUAAGUGCCAGUUUUUGUUUUGCUUUCCUGUUUAGAUCAGUCAACAUGUGUGAGUGCACCUUCACCAAUCCCACAAAUGCCUCUGCUCUCACGAAUUUAUUACCCUUGGGGGAGCCUCAGCAAGACAGUACUUGAUGCAUUGGAAGCAGACAAUGUCCUGCUUCCCUCUCAACGACAGGAAGUGGCACACAUGGCAGCGUCAUGUCCCUGCAUAUCCAUUGAAGGUGGGAGGCACUCCUGAUAUUUAUUCACAUGCACCUGGUUGGUAUCAUUGAGAACGAAGGGAGCCAGCAGGCAUUAAAAAAUCAAGAGGACUACAUGCAUAAAUGCGUGAGGCAAUGAAGGUCGCAGAUGAAUAUAGCAAGAAGUGGGAACAUCUCAUGUGAUACAUGGCGGUCAAAUGUUCCACCACCAAAGUCAUGUACAAGUUAUUUGUAGUCUUUUCAGUAAUUUCCAAAAUAAAGGGUUAUUAUUGAAAA